Molecule: ribosomal RNA, 253 nt
Filed under: uncultured bacterium
Lineage: Bacteria
Description: partial 16S ribosomal RNA
Rfam family: Bacterial small subunit ribosomal RNA
Source: RNAcentral
UACUAAGGGGGCUAGCGUUGCUCGGAAUCACUGGGCGUAAAGGGUGCGUAGGCGGGUUUUUAAGUCAGGGGUGAAAUCCUGGAGCUCAACUCCAGAACUGCCUUUGAUACUGAAGAUCUUGAGUCCGGGAGAGGUGAGUGGAACUGCGAGUGUAGAGGUGAAAUUCGUAGAUAUUCGCAAGAACACCAGUGGCGAAGGCGGCUCACUGGCCCGGUACUGACGCUGAGGCACGAAAGCGUGGGGAGCAAACAGG